CCGCCCGUGGUGGUGGUUUUAAGCGGUGCCCCGAGGUCGGCCCCGACAGCCUGUGUGCUGCGUGAGGACGACGCUGGGUUCGCGGUGCUGUCGAUUCUCUCGGGGCCGUGCGAUGUCAUCCCCACACCCAGGGCCGCACGGAGGGCCGCAGCCGCACGGAGGGCCCGGAAAGUCGCCAGGGCAUAAUAACCCACCCGGCCAUGACCGAGGCGGCCCCCACCCGAAGGGCUCCCAUACGUCUCCGAAGGGCCCCAAUCCGUCUCCGCCGGGCCCGCACGGCCACCCCCACUAGGCGCUGAGCCCCGUCGGCAGCCGUCCAUGGCACGGGUCCGUCUUCGUCCCUCGGCUACCCGGUAGCCGCGCUGCCGCCGGGGUCUCCCACCCGCCACGUGUGGCAGCACCUCUGCCGGAAACAGCAGCUCGGGCUCGGGUUGAGGUCGGCAAUAAAAAAGUCCUCUCGGUG
Long non-coding RNA from Lagopus leucura (white-tailed ptarmigan), 463 nucleotides. RefSeq lists it as uncharacterized. The record is from RefSeq and is a predicted model, not a curated record. The transcript has 3 exons. NCBI's taxonomy places the organism in Eukaryota, Metazoa, Chordata, Aves, Galliformes, Phasianidae.